Molecule: long non-coding RNA, 476 nt
Filed under: Hordeum vulgare
Lineage: Eukaryota; Viridiplantae; Streptophyta; Magnoliopsida; Poales; Poaceae
Description: long non-coding RNA (HVUL_LNC012660)
Source: RNAcentral
GAACACUCGGCCCAGCGGGCAAACAUGCCGGCUCCGGCUCCGCGCACCUGCUGACACCUUUCGAAGCACUUUCACGUGUGAACCGAAGUCGUCUUGCCGAACUCCUUACUUUCUCAUUUCAGUCCUCGCCUUUUUCAUCUUCCGUAGGCGAUCAGAAGGGAUUGGACGAUCCCAAUGCGUUGCCCUCCUUCGCAAUACCGGAACUAUCUGACCGAGCUCCAUCAACACAGAAAGCGGAAGGGACAGCAGAUACGGAUAGACUGGAUCCAGAAAGGGAUUUCAGCCAGUCCUUGCCUAUUGCUGGGCUGGUUGUUUUGUCACGGUCCGAUUAGUAGAAGGUGAGUGAGUAAGACGAGGCCCCCGAAGCGUAAUGUAGAGCUAUACUGCUCUUGUUUUUCCUUCCGCCCUGCUUAGGAGAACUUUGUCUAGAACCCACUUUAGCUAGCUUUCGAGGAUACCAUUACAGAUGAGUGAAG